CUUGGUGAUUUUAGCGAGGUUGUCCCACCCGUUACCAUCUCGAACACGGAAGUGAAACGCCUCAGCGCUGACGAUACUGUUACGGCAACGUUUUGGGAAAAUAAGUCAUUGCCAGGG
Molecule: ribosomal RNA, 117 nt
Filed under: Chloroflexota bacterium
Lineage: Bacteria; Bacillati; Chloroflexota
Source: RNAcentral